GUGAUCAUGAAGGUAUAAAAUAAAGUCAUGCCUCAACCAAGGUGCAGCAAUUUAUCCUGUGAAACCUGUGCUGCAGGUUUUAUGUGUAAACUAUGUCCUAUGCAUCAUUUAGCUGACACCAUCCCACCUCCAAGACCCCAUCCCCUGUUGGAGGCUGGCCCACCCCACAGCAACUGGCGCUGGGGACCAGGGACUCUUGACUAGGGACAGAUGCAGCAGUAGAUGGAAGGCUUAAGGUCAAAAAGAAGGUUGCCUCUCUUUGCACUGGAGUCUUUCCACAUCCCUGGUUGGAGAUCAGGAGGCACCUGGUGAAGAUAAAAGUCCAGCAGUCACACUUAGGGGAUACAUACAGUGGGAAAUGGAAAAAGGCUCUGUAGGUGAUGCUCUUUGCAUAAGAAGCAUGAAACACCACCAUCUCAGAAGAAUCAUAAAUGCAAGUGAUCCAAAGGCUGAAGGAGAGAUGCAUGGUGCAGCAGAUGGCAGCAUUUUGAUGAUCCUCUACUUAGAAAGCUCCCAGAAUGCUGGAUUUGGUGUUGGAGGACCUGGAUUAAAAUACAGGUUCAAUGGUGUGAUGUCAGACCAAUCCAGGAAACAUUCCUCCCUGAAGUAG
RNAcentral lists this long non-coding RNA (610 nucleotides) under Monodelphis domestica (gray short-tailed opossum). Its description in RNAcentral is "lncRNA (ENSMODG00000036144.2)". The record is from RNAcentral. Lineage: Eukaryota; Metazoa; Chordata; Mammalia; Didelphimorphia; Didelphidae.